CAGGAUCUCUGAUUUGAUGAUCUCCUCGAUGACGUCCUCCAGAGUGACGAUGCCCAUCACCUCGUAGAAAGGAUCGCCUUCGCCCUCGUUGUUCACACGCUGCACGAUGGCGAGGUGGGACUUCCCUGGAGGAAACGAUUUCAGCUCUUUUUCUGCGUCAUGGAAGUUUUGGACUGAAGCAUCAUUAACAGUUGAUGUAAAUGUUCCAGUUCCAGUUUAAGAGUGAAACAGAGUCUCGUCAGGAUCUGUGUUCAGCUUCCAGUCUGUCUACACGACGUCAUGCCUGGCACUGAGGAGGUUCCCUGGACCAACAUGCUGCUGCUGCCGUGGUUGUUCACAGCAGGGAAGGUGUUACUUGGUCGAUUUUAUUUUUGCCAGACACAGUGUUUAGCAUUCAGGCCAAAGAAUGGCUCUGUGGGCUCAGCAGGCCAGCAGCCUCCAUGCUACAGCUCUACAGUGUCUUAAAAUUCACUCACAUCAGGGCAUUUUGUAAGACCAUAAUGCAUUUAUUUUAAAAACAGGAAAGAUUUGUGUUUUAGUGCAACGUGAGCUUGUGAACAGAUAAACAACUCUGCACUGCAUUUUAGGCUUUGGUGAUAUCCAGGUAUUACUGUAUGGUGGAGUAUUUAGAAAUAAAAAUACUCCUUCCUCUGGUUUACCUUAAUAGAUGCCCUAGAGAGGUGGUGUAUUGUAUUGCACAGCACGUGUCACCAGAGGUCAGUAUCUAAUGCUGGAACCGACAUCUUGGCUGAGAAAGAUGGCAACUAUGCCUCAGGACUAGCAAAAAAGAAAAAUACCUCUGCCCCUGUUUGAGAGCAUUUUGGUUUCAGCCAACGCAGACGAAGCCCAUUCUGAACAAUAUGUGUUAAUCAGCCACCCAAAACUGACCCACAACACCAACUGAAGGAAUCCUAACCAUAGCUGUGACAUUAAUAUUUUUUAUUUUGGACAUGGUGGCUUAGUGGAUAAGGCUUUGGGCUUAGGUUCAACCCCAGCACCACCAAACUGCCACUGCUGGGUCCCUGAGCAAGGCAGACGUUUUACAAAUUCAUGCCGUGUUCCUUGUCCCUGUUUUUAAGAUUAUUCCACUACCUGUUUUAAAUCUAUUACAUGUGAAUAUUGAACUGAAGCAGGAAUUUAAAAAGACUGUACUACAAAACAAAUCACAUUAUCUGUCAAAAAACUGCAUUGAGAUAUUUUCCCUCAAUCACUAAGGCCUACUUUUAGUGAUUAUCUUACAUCAGGUCAGAUAAGAGAACAGAUGAUAUCAGAUUUAUUUAGUUGUCAGGCUAAUAUUUUAAUAUUAAACAUAAAGUUGUGCUAAUUGUUUUUCUACAGCAAGACUUUGUGCUGGUUAAACACAGCGGCUUGGUGGUUAGUACUGUCGCCUUGCAGCUAGAAUAUCCCCGGUUCAUGGAGUUUGCAUGUUCUCCCUGUACAUGUGUGGGUUUUCUCCAGGUUCCCCAACUUCCUCCCACAGUCAAAAACAUGCUGAGGUUAAUUGGUAGCUCUAAAAUUGUCUGUAGGUGUGAAUGUGAGUGUGAUUGUUUGUCUCUAUAUAUGGGUCAUUCCAAAAUUGGAGGACAUUUUAUGUCCCACCCAUAAAAUAUCAAAUAUUCCAUGUACAAAAUACUGAAACAUGCAGUUGUUGUGUAAAUUUACUGGUCCUGAGACCAAAUCUAAAAAAAACUAGGAGAAAAGAAUGUUUGAAAAUAUUUUUAAAAUACCAAAUAAGUCUGGAGUUCCCCCCAAAAAAUGAAAAUGAAAAUGAAAUUUAAAUCUCCCUUUUUUUCCUCCAUUGAUGUCUCUUGUAAUUGUGGGAAAUAUUUUAAAUAACUGUUAUGCAUGGAACAUGUGUCCCACAACAACCCUGCUAGCAAAACCUUUUUAGCUGGUAGAAGAAGAAAAAAGGGACUCACAUGAAACGCUGGAAUUAACAUCAUCAAACAUUUUUCCAAAACAAUGGAUAGAGCAAAGCUAUGUCCUCUCUUCUAUUUUUCAUAUUUUCAUAACAUUCUCAGCCUUCAUUGAAUGUCUCACUCUACCUCAUAUUAUCAGGAUCAGACUAAUUCUUUUGACUGUUUUCCAUCAGUCAGUUUUUUUAACAUUAGCAUGAUUAGCAACCCUGUUACUGUGAUUAGAGUAGGGUUAGCAAACAACAAGUAAAACAUGGAAUAAAAAUGGUACCAUUGAUGUGUAAGCUGAGCCAAUCAAGCCUUUGAUAGUUUAUUACCUAUUAUUGAUGAAUAUGUAGCAGACACUCUGAACUGUAAAAGAGGAAGUUUAAUUUUCAAACAUUUUGAAGCCCAAAUGUCCUCCAGUUCUGGAAUGACCCUUAUGUAGCCCUGUGAUAAACUGGUGACCUGUCCAGGGUGUCUUCUGUCUUCACCCUAAGCCAGCUGGGAUAGACUCCAGCCCCCCUCGACCCUAAUGACGUUUAAUUAGUGUAUAGAUGAUGAGUGGAUGGAUGUUCUUGCCAUUGCUGCUCUACACCUGACAUCAGUUUCACACCUCCAGUCUGAUGUCAUCCAUGAACUGAGAUGCUUUAAAUGGUGAAUCUGCUUCAGUAUUUCUGUACUUACUGCUGAUAUUAAAUUGAUUUUAUGUGCAUAUGGUCAUAAAGUGGUUUCUACGAGCUGUAGAGGAUGAACACAGAUAUGAUUGUUGUGUCACGUUGCCACAAAGAGAUCUAGAUGAGAUUAUCCACACAACCAGAGGAUUAUAAACAAGGUCUUUCCCUCUGUGUUGCUCUCUCUCUCUCUCUCUCUCUUCCUGCUCUUUUUCCUCUCUCUGUAGCAACACUUUCAGGCACUGCGGCAGAAAAAUGCAGCCCUUCACUUUCAGUUCAGUGAGACUCCUGCAGCAUCUGAUGCUGACACAGAGGGCUCCAGGGGGAAAAAAACAAACAGCUAUACAGGGUGUUGAUAUUAAAAAUGUCAAACUGUGUUUUAUCUUCGGCAUGGAGCUUAGAGACACAAGACGGCAGAAUAUGUUUGGGUAUUUUUUGCUACUGUGAAGGUGAAAUCAGUCUGGCUCCUGACUUCCAGUAGCAUAAAACUCUUGGAUGUGUUUCUAAAAUUUGAACUGCUGUGCAAUGCUUUCAAAUGUGACUGUGAUGAAUAAUCAUUUGUGAUUUUUUUUUAAGCUAAUAACUAACUGUCUUUCACUAUUUUAGUCUGAGUGGCAUAUUCGUCAAUUUAAAAAAAAAAGUUUUAUUAGUAAUCUGCAGUUGGUGGCACAAGAUGGCGUGCAAUGUGUUGCUGGAAUAGUUGGCUACUUAACGGUUUAUUCAGUGUUGUUUAUGUAAUUGGGGGCUAAAUGUUGUUGGCUUGGAUGGCUGAUUAAACAUUUCACCAGAGUAUGCAGUAAAUUACAGUCUUUGCAUGGAAAGAAGAGUGAAAGUUGAGCUUCUGGUGAUGGAAGUCAUUGUAGCAUGUAUGAUAAGUGCCCUUUUUCCUUUUAGCAAAUUCAUUUGUUAUUGUUGGCUGAUGGUGGUGCGUUUGAUGGCUGUGCUUUUAUAGCACCUAAUGUGUUUGAUGCAUUUUGAGGUUUGGAUGGAGGAUGAAAGUGUUUCUCUCUUUAGCCACAGCAGCCUUCUUUUGAGGGAGAAUCACAACCUGAACUUGACUGUCUGUAUUCUUCUGUUUUAUUUCUGUAAAUGAUACAAACAGGAGACAAAUAAGCUGCGAACACACACUACUGUUCAAAAGUUUGGGGUCAUUUAGACAAUUUCAUGUUUUCCAUGAAAGCUCACACUUUUAUUCAUGUGCUAACAUAACUGCACAAGGGUUUUCUAAUCAUCAAUUAACCUUUCAACACCAUUAGCUAACACAAUGUAGCAUUAGAACACAGGAGUGAUGGUUGCUGGAAAUGGGCAACCAUCACUGCUUUUCUUUCAAAAAAUAAGAACAUUUCUAAGUGACCCCAAACUUUUGAACAGUAGUGUAUACGGACAGAAUAAGCAAUAAAGACAUUUCAGAAUUGCCAAACACAAGUUAUACACUAUUGAACAAAAUGAGGAAACGGCAAGCAACAUUUUUUGGACGCAUCAUAACGAAAGAGACGCUAGAAUAUAUCGUCACAAGUGGAAAAAUAAAUGUGAAGAGAUGCCGAGGCAGAGAGAGAAUGAAAAUGAUGGACAGACUGGCAUCAUGGCUCCACAUGGAACAGUCAAAAAGCAAAACAUCGGAAUAGAUGGAGAGAAAUGAUCGCCUACGCUGAAUAGCAUCACUGAUUGAUUGAAGUACAGAGAUCAAACCGGUUGGCAGGUUUAGAAAAUCUUACCAGCCUUGGAUUAGUAAAAUGUUUUAAAAGUAAUGUCACUGCUACAUAAAACAUGUUAAAAACAAUGUUUAAAAUACUGUAUGACUAUCUACAGCAGUGAGCAGAAAUGUAAAUAAAAGAGCUGUCAGAUGUCUCCUGGUCAAGGUGUCCUGCUCUGCUCCCUCCUCCCUCACUUCCUGUCCUCACUACAAACAGAGAAAACCAGAAAGUGCUGACAGUGCAGGUCCCUGAGCUUGUAGGAAGGCAGUGAUAAACAGCGAGGUCUGUGAUUGGCCACUUCACACCCCACCCAUUUAAAGCUUUACAAUAAAGCAGUUAGGCCAGCUGACCAUGCAGGAGGGAACUCUGGUCUGCUGCAGCAGCACUGCAGACUGGGUUUAACCUGUUAUUGGUGCAGACUGCAUGACUCCUCUCAGCUCCAAAGAUACGCAUCGCCUAAAGUAUUACAUCACUUCAAUAUUAAAUACAGAGGAGCCCCAGUGGAGCAGGAGGAGGUUUAAGUACUGUUCUGAAACACAGCUCAGCUGUCUGUUUGGAUGUAUUCGGCCAGUGCAGAGACUGAAACCAGCAGCUUUUACAGCACAGUUCAUCCUUUUCAACAAAUUGUCUGGGUGACCCCAAGCUUUUGAACAGUAGUGUAUAUACAUUUGUCAGGUGUCCGAAUGUAAAGGCCACUCUGCAUCCUGCACUGUCACCUGGAAUCACCCCAGACUUACAAGUUGCCAUAGUAACUAGCCACACAUUAGAUGUGUUUCACCACUAACUCAGAGAGAAGUCCAAUCUAAAUUCCCUGCUGCAAAAUACUGGAUCACAUUCAGAACUGUAGCUGAUAAAAGCAUUAGACAGAAGUAUGAAAUACUAUAAACUGCAGAGAAAAGUUUCACUGGAGCCUAACAUGGAAGCAUGAAUCAGUAUAUGGAAAGGUUUAGGUACGUUUAAGACAUUAAUCCCUGUUGCAGAGGUUCUCCACCAACAUCUUAAUUUGUGUGAAUGACCUUGGGUUGGUUCUGCUGUCUGUAGUCAUAAUUCAGGUAUUUACUAAAUAUAUUAGAGAACAAAAUAAGUUCGAUGAUUGCAUAUAAACAUGAUCUAAUAUCCUGAACUGCACUUCUUCUCACCCCAGAUUUGUGGCCCCUCCUCACCUUUCUUGAACUCCUCCAGCAUGGCGUCCAGCUUGGUGUCGUUGAAGACGCAGUGCAGCGGGUGUUUGUAGAACUGGGUGAUGGUCUUCAGCGGUGUGCAGUCGUCCGGGUCCACGAAAGCCAGGUCCUUGACGAACAGGAUGUCCACGAUGUUGGACCUCUCGUUCUCAAACACCGGUAUCCUCGUGUAUCCGCUCUGCAUGAUCUCAGACAUGGUGUUGAAGUCCAGCACCACGUCCGAGGCCAGCAUGAAGCAGUCGGUGAGCGGCGUCAGGACGUCCUCCACGGUUUUGGUUCGCAGCUCCAGCGCUCCCUGGAUGAUGUUGAGCUCCUCUUUGACCAGAUCGUGGUACGGGUCGGUGACGCGCAGCAUCUCCAGGAGCUUCUCUCUGGUGUAGAAGUUUGAGAUCUCCUGGUUGAGGAUGAGGUCCAGCAGCUUGCUGAUGGGGUAGGAGAUGGGGAAGGAGAGCACCAUCAGCAGCCGCGUCACCCAGAUGGUUUUGGAAGCGAUGGCCAGACCGUGGCGCGACGCCACCGAGUGAGGAAGGAUCUCCCCGAUGAAGAAGAUGCCGAAGGCGCAGAUGACCGUAGAGAGCCAGGUCAUGCCCAGGAUCUGGCACAUCCACACGGCCAGAGAGGCGUUGAUGAUCGCGUUCCCCAGCAGUAAAGUGCACAGGACGUAGUUUCCAUGCCGACGCACGGACUCGAUUUUCCGCGCGUAGUUCUGCUCCGUGUCGGUGCCGCUGUUCUGGAGAACCUGCAGCUCCACUGGGUCCAGGGCCAGCAGGCUCAGGUUGAGUCCGCUGAACAGAGCUGACAGCCCGAGCAGGAGGACUGACACCAACACCUGCAGCCAGAGCUCCGGCACCGCUGAGCGCUCAGUCACGGCCACCCAGAAAUCCCUGGUCCGGUAAUGUUCCCAUUUGGAUCCAUCGAAGGCGCACAUGGAGUAGUAUUUGAUCUUCUCCCCCCUCCGCAGGUCUUUGGCCAACAGUUCCACCAGCACCGAGUUCUGACUGGAAGCAGACUUGAAAGAGCCUAAAACCUCGAUGUCGGACGUCCUGGCGUUCUUGUCCAUGCACAUAUUCCGCUUCGGGUGAACUUGUCCCUCUCUGCCGGGAGUUGGCUCCUCGAUGAAGGCGAUCCAGGGCGCGGCAUUAUUGGCGCGUUUCCCCGCGGUGCGGUUGAGCCUCUGCGGGGAGGUGGAGUAGUAGACCCGCAACAUGAAGCGGGUUCCCUCGGUGGCUUUCAGCACCCCGUCCUCCACGGACAGCUCCGCCCCGGUCUCCUCCGGCCGAAAGCCGAGCAGACCGAGCGCCGGAGCGGGAAGCAGCGAGACGAAGAGCAGCAGGCGGAGCGGAGAGAGCGGAGCCCGGGGAGACAGCGGGGCUCCGCUUCGGUACCGCGCGGCCGCAUCCUCCGCAGCCAUGAUGCGGUGUGAGAGGCUCAGUCCAGGGAGCCCGGGUCACGUGGUGCUGCGUGGUUCCGCUCCAUGUGGGGAAGGAGGGACCGUAGGACCCGUUAACGGCGCUGGUGAGGAUUCUGCUUAACCGGCAGAGAGACGCGCCUCCAACACGCCGUGACGUAACUUUCUAAUAAUAGCCUCGAGCUGUGAUGAUCAGCGACACUGCUGAGAGUUUAGAUUGUUUACUGCUCAGACUGAGUCGUUUCUUUAAUCACAAUACAUCACUGUAAACGA
This is a long non-coding RNA of Amphiprion ocellaris (clown anemonefish), 7125 nucleotides long. RefSeq lists it as uncharacterized. The record is from RefSeq and is a predicted model, not a curated record. The transcript has 3 exons. Lineage: Eukaryota; Metazoa; Chordata; Actinopteri; Pomacentridae.